ACCAGACUCCUACGGGAGGCAGCAGUGGGGAAUAUUGCACAAUGGGGGGAACCCUGAUGCAGCGACGCCGCGUGAGUGAAGAAGUAUUUCGGUAUGUAAAGCUCUGUCAGCAGGGAAGAAGAAAGACGGUACCUGACCAAGAAGCCCCGGCUAACUACGUGCCAGCAGCCGCGGUAAUACGUAGGGGGCAAGCGUUAUCCGGAUUUACUGGGUGUAAAGGGAGCGUAGACGGCAUGGCAAGUCAGAUGUGAAAGCCCGGGGCUCAACCCCGGGACUGCAUUUGAAACUGUCAGGCUGGAGUGCAGGAGAGGUAAGUGGAAUUCCUAGUGUAGCGGUGAAAUGCGUAGAUAUUAGGAGGAACACCAGUGGCGAAGGCGGCUUACUGGACUGUAACUGACGUUGAGGCUCGAAAGCGUGGGGAGCAAACAGGAUUAGAUACCCGUGUACG
This 448-nucleotide ribosomal RNA is filed under the name uncultured bacterium. Its description in RNAcentral is "bacterial SSU rRNA". It matches the Rfam family "Bacterial small subunit ribosomal RNA", at positions 330 to 793 of the family's 1533-position model. The record is from RNAcentral.